This 67-nucleotide transfer RNA is filed under the name Brachyptera risi. RNAcentral describes it as "tRNA-Cys". Lineage: Eukaryota; Metazoa; Arthropoda; Insecta; Plecoptera; Taeniopterygidae. The record is from RNAcentral.
AGCUUUAUAGUCAUUAAAUGAUAUUAGACUGCAAUUCUAAAGGAGUAAAAAUAAUUUACUAAGGCUU